Molecule: ribosomal RNA, 427 nt
Filed under: uncultured bacterium
Lineage: Bacteria
Description: partial 16S ribosomal RNA
Rfam family: Bacterial small subunit ribosomal RNA
Source: RNAcentral
GUGGGGAAUAUUGGGCAAUGGGCGAAAGCCUGACCCAGCAACGCCGCGUGAGGGAAGGAGGUUUUCGGAUCGUAAACCUCUGUCCUUAGUGAAGAGAAAGAGACGGUAGCUAAGGAGGAAGCCCCGGCUAACUACGUGCCAGCAGCCGCGGUAAUACGUAGGGGGCGAGCGUUGUCCGGAAUGAUUGGGCGUAAAGGGCGCGUAGGCGGCCUGUUAAGUCCGGAGUGAAAUUCCUGCUUUCAAGGUAGGAAGUGCUUUGGAAACUGGCGGGCUGGAGUGCAGGAGAGGUUAGCGGAAUUCCCGGUGUAGCGGUGAAAUGCGUAGAGAUCGGGAGGAACACCAGUGGCGAAGGCGGCUAACUGGACUGUAACUGACGCUGAGGCGCGAAAGUGUGGGGAGCAAACAGGAUUAGAUACCCGUGUAGUCC